This 381-nucleotide ribosomal RNA is filed under the name uncultured bacterium. RNAcentral's name for it is "bacterial SSU rRNA". It matches the Rfam family "Archaeal small subunit ribosomal RNA", at positions 339 to 720 of the family's 1478-position model. The record is from RNAcentral.
GCGCGAAAACUUUACAAUGCUGGCAACAGCGAUAAGGGAACCUCGAGUGCCAGGUUACAAAUCUGGCUGUCGAGAUGCCUAAAAAGCAUUUCAUAGCAAGGGCCGGGCAAGACCGGUGCCAGCCGCCGCGGUAACACCGGCGGCUCGAGUGGUAACCGUUAUUAUUGGGUCUAAAGGGUCUGUAGCCGGCCGGAUAAGUCUCUUGAGAAAUCUGGCAGCUUAACUGUCAGGCUUUCAGGAGAUACUGUCUGGCUCGAGGCCGGGAGAGGUGGGAGGUACUUCAGGGGUAGGGGUGAAAUCUUGUAAUCCUUGAAGGACCACCAGUGGCGAAGGCGUCUCACCAGAACGGACCUGACGGCAAGGGACGAAAGCUAGGGGCAC